CGAGCUUCCCAAGAAGAUUAAGAUUGAACUGUUCAUCAAACCCAUGGAAUGGAGGUAGAGGUCUCGAGCUUCCCAAGAAGUUUAAGAUAGAACAGUUCAUCAAACCCUUAGAAUGGAGGAAGAGGUCUCGAGCUUCCCAAGAAGAUUAAGAUUGAACUGUUCAUCAAACCCCGCGAACCGCCAUUGACUUCAAUAGGCAGGCGAACUUUAAAACCUACAAGGACUCUUUCUGGCCACAAUAGUGAUGGAAAAGUUGUUUCAAGGGGACUAACACCUGGACUGUGGCAUCAAACCCAUGGAAUGGAGGAGGGGGAUCCCUGGCAAAACUCCCAUGAAAAAUUACAUAGAUUAUGCAGAGUCUGCUUUUAACCCAUAAAGGGCCUAAAUCACCUAACAUUCCCAAAUUGUUUGCAAAAAUUUGCUUUAAUACAUCA
Molecule: long non-coding RNA, 434 nt
Organism: Bombina bombina (fire-bellied toad)
Lineage: Eukaryota; Metazoa; Chordata; Amphibia; Anura; Bombinatoridae
Exons: 3
Source: RefSeq, a predicted model, not a curated record